Molecule: ribosomal RNA, 436 nt
Filed under: uncultured bacterium
Lineage: Bacteria
Description: bacterial SSU rRNA
Rfam family: Bacterial small subunit ribosomal RNA
Source: RNAcentral
UCGAGAAUCUUCGGCAAUGGGCGCAAGCCUGACCGAGCGACGCCGCGUGGAGGACGAAGGCCUUCGGGUUGUAAACUCCUGUCGAGGGGGAAGAAGGGGUGAAACCCCUUGACUGAUCCCUGGAGGAAGCACGGGCUAAGUUCGUGCCAGCAGCCGCGGUAAGACGAACCGUGCGAACGUUAUUCGGAAUCACUGGGCUUAAAGCGCGUGUAGGCGGGUCGGCACGUCGGCCGCUGAAAUCCCCCGGCUCAACCGGGGAAGCGGCGCCGAUACGGCCGGCCUCGAGGGACGUAGGGGGGGCUGGAACUUCCGGUGGAGCGGUGAAAUGCGUUGAGAUCGGAAGGAACGCCCGUGGCGAAAGCGAGCCCCUGGACGUCUACUGACGCUGAGACGCGAAAGCCAGGGGAGCGAACGGGAUUAGAUACCCCUGUAGUCC